This is an RNA transcript of Nomascus leucogenys (northern white-cheeked gibbon), 1394 nucleotides long. It is a transcript of the gene named dynein light chain 1, cytoplasmic-like, with no coding region annotated. Lineage: Eukaryota; Metazoa; Chordata; Mammalia; Primates; Hylobatidae. The record is from RefSeq and is a predicted model, not a curated record. The transcript has a single exon.
CUGACCAGCUGUGUGUCCGUGUCCUAGAUUGAGAAACAGCCCUGCAGGCUGCCUGUAGUAGACACAACCACAAGCUGACUAAGCAGUCCUGUGCUCCUUGCCCAGGCCUAUGAAACAAUCUCAUGGGCCACCACCCACAGAAAUGCCCCCAGGCCAUUUGAGCAGCAAUGCAGAUAUGUCAUAGGUCUGAGAAAUAGCCUUGUGCCCAACCCAGGCAGCAGAGCAGUCAUACACCCAUGCCCUGGAUCUGAGAAAUAACCUGCGGGCCACCCCCAGCAGACGUGCCCCUGGGCCAGCCAAGCAGACUUGUGCCUACAUCCUUGGCGUGAAAAUCAGCCCCAUGGGCCGCCAAUGGCAGCCAUGUCCACAGGCCAAUCAAACAGUUGUGUACCAGCAUUCUGAGCCAGAGGAACAGCCCCCUGGACCAUCCUCAGCAGAUGUGUACUCACACCAGCCAAGAAGCCAUGUGAUCAUGCCUUGAGCCUGAGAAACCUCAGGGACCACCCACAACAAACAUGCCCCAGGCCAACUGAGAAACUGGGCAGCUGUGUCCUGGGCCUAAGAAACUCUGUGAAUCACCCAGAGCAGACACACCCUAGACCAGCCAAGCAGCUUUAUGCCUGCAUCCUAAACCAAAGAAAGCAUGUUGUGGGUCACCCCUGGCAGACACAUCACCAGGUCAGCCAAGCAGCUGUGUGCCCACACCCUGGGCUGAAGAAAGUCCCACAAACCGAGAUGCACCACGGCUUUGGUACCAACGGCAGCUCCAGCCGGGCCUGAGCUGUGCUGGCACCUCCCAGGAGACCGUUGCAGUCGGCCAGCCCCUUUCUCCAUGGUAACCAUGUGCGACCGAAAGGCCAUGAUAAAAAAUGCGGACAUGUCAGAAGAGAUGCAACAGAACUCAGUGGAGUGCGCUACUCAGGCGCUGGAGAAAUACAACAUAGAGAAGAACAUUGCGGCUCAUAUCAAGAAGGAAUGUGACAAGAAGUACAAUCCCACCUGACGUUGCAUCGUGGGGAGGAGCUUAAGCAGUUACGUGACACGUGAAACCAAACACUUCGUCUACUUCUACCUGGGCCAAGUGGCCAUUCCUCUGUUCAAAUCUGGUUAAAUGCAUGGACUGUGCCACACACCCAGUGAUCCACCCAAAAACAAGGACUGCAGCCUAAAUUCCAAAUACCAGAGACUGAAAUUUUCAGCCUUGCUAAGGGAACUCCUCGAUGUUUGAACCUUUGUUGUGUUUUGUACAGGGCAUUCUCUGUACUAGCUUGUUGUGGUUAUAAAACAAUUAGCAAAAUAGCCUACAUUUGUAUUUAUUUUCUAUUCCAUACUUCUGCCCCACAUUGUUUUCUCUCAAAAUCCAUUCCUUUAAAAAAUAAAUAUGUUGCAGAUGU